UAGUGGCAAACGGGUGAGUAACACGUGGGCAAUCUGACUCGGAGUGGGGAAUAACGGACCGAAAGGUUCGCUAAUACCGCAUGGUCUUGAGAAAGUAAAGGUUUUCGUAAGAGAAUCGCUUUGAGAGGAGCCUGCGAUCGAUCAGGUAGUUGGUGAGGUAACGGCUCACCAAGCCGACGACCGAUAGCUGAUCUGAGAGGAUGACCAGCCACACUGGGACUGCGAAACGGCCCAGACUCCUACGGGAGGCAGCAGCGAGGAAUAUUGCGCAAUGGAGGAAACUCUGACGCAGUAACGCCGCGUGAGGGACGAGGACCUUCGGGUUGUAAACCUCUUUUUGUAAAGACGAGUGAGGACGGUAUUUAUAGAAUAAGUCUCGGCUAACUACGUGCCAGCAGCCGCGGUAAGACGUAGGAGGCGAGCGUUAUCCGGAUUCACUGGGCGUAAAGCGCAUGUAGGCGGCUCGAUAAGUCGUGUGUUAAAGCCCCUGGCUCAACUGGGGGAGGUCAUGCGAGACUGUCGGACUGGAGGACAGUAGAGGCACGUGGAACUCCCGGUGUAGCGGUGGAAUGCGUAGAGAUCGGGAAGAACACCCGUGGCGAAGGCGACGUGCUGGGCUGUUAC
This 624-nucleotide ribosomal RNA is filed under the name uncultured bacterium. RNAcentral's name for it is "bacterial SSU rRNA". It matches the Rfam family "Bacterial small subunit ribosomal RNA", at positions 93 to 740 of the family's 1533-position model. The record is from RNAcentral.